GUUUUUAUUUGUAGUGAUAGCCCCCAAACGGAGGGUUAUGCUCAGGAGCUGGAGCCCUGCUGUACUGUCUCCGAAGUAUUUGCAUGCAUGGCCAUAUAUUCCGAAAGUACACAAUCUCUGCCUCAAGGAGCUGGUAAUUUAACCAGUUGUGUGUGUGUACGCGUGUGCGUUCACGUACCUGUGCUACCACAAAAAGGAUCUGGAAUUGCAGUUUGUGUUUUGAUGAGACAUGGGCAAAGAGUGAACGUGAGGAGAACAAAGGAGAAGGGAACAGUGCUGUGGUUCCUUGAGGUGUUAUUGCAGACAGCCUGCUGUCUGGCCUGUCACUGGGCGCGCUGUAGACUCAUGGGAAUUCCCCUGGAUGUGUUACGCAUCCCAGGCUGUUGUUGAAGGGGGUCAGUGGUGCAAUUUGAUUUUGCUACCCUGAAAAUCUUAUCCCACGCUUCUCCUGCUUGCUAAUCCACGAUUUGCUCCUUGUGGACUCAACUGCAUGACUUCCCAGAUCUGCAUUUACGUAUCAAUUAAACAAGGGUGAGAAUGGGGAAUGUGUACCUCACAAACAGAUUAUGAAAAUACAGUUGGAUGGACUACUUCGUAAUUUGUGCAAGGAACCUACUGGUUAACAGGGUGACCAAAGUGAUAAAACGUGUGCUUCAGGUGGCUUUGUUUGGCAAAGAAUUGAGAUAAUGUUUGUGUAUAAUUAUAGGCUUAAGUGCAACUGAUGCCAAUGAUUAAUUGAAUUGGGAUCAAAUUUACCUGGGGGGUAACAGUGGAUUUAAAGAAAAUAUAUUUAAGUAAUUACGUAAUUGUACAGAAAAUUAUUUCAUUUUUAGCAUACAAUUGCAAAUGCAUACUGUAGCUUUAUUAAAAUACGUUUCCCUGCAUGUACCGCCUGUUUUAAAAUACAAGAGAAACAUGGGUGAUAGGUGGUUCUCCUAAGCAAUUUCCACGAAGCAAAUAAAAAUUGCUUAGUGCAGUAUAUGAAGGUACUG
Molecule: long non-coding RNA, 992 nt
Filed under: Anser brachyrhynchus (Pink-footed goose)
Lineage: Eukaryota; Metazoa; Chordata; Aves; Anseriformes; Anatidae
Description: lncRNA (ENSABRG00000003018.1)
Source: RNAcentral